Molecule: ribosomal RNA, 525 nt
Filed under: uncultured Mycoplasma sp.
Lineage: Bacteria; Bacillati; Mycoplasmatota; Mollicutes; Mycoplasmatales; Mycoplasmataceae
Description: bacterial SSU rRNA
Rfam family: Bacterial small subunit ribosomal RNA
Source: RNAcentral
GCACCGAAUACUGUUUGUCUAGAAUGUGGUAGGAAGUUUUGGAAUUAAAUAUGGAGCGGUGGAAUGUGUAGAUAUAUUUAAGAACACCAGAGGCGAAGGCGAAAACUUAGGCCAUCAUUGACGCUUAGGCUUGAAAGUGUGGGUAGCAAAUGGGAUUAGAUACCCCAGUAGUCCACACCGUAAACGAUGGGUAUUGGAUGUCGGAUCUUGAGAUUCGGUGUUGUAGCUUACGUGUUAAAUACCCCGCCUGGGUAGUAUAUAUGCAAAUAUGAAACUCAAAGGAAUUGACGGGGACCUGAACAAGUGGUGGAACAUGUUGCUUAAUUCGAUAAUACACGAAAAACCUUACCAGGGUUUGACAUCCCUCGCGAAACUAUGGAAACAUAGCGGAGGUUAUCGAGGUGACAGGUGGUGCAUGGUUGUCGUCAGCUCGUGUCAUGAGAUGUUUGGUUAAGUCCCGCAACGAGCGCAACCCUACUCCUUAGUUGUUUGUCUAGGGAGACUGAACAGUAAUGUAUAGGAAGG